UUAAUUACGGAUACUGUUCAA
Non-coding RNA from Caenorhabditis elegans, 21 nucleotides. The record is from Ensembl. Lineage: Eukaryota; Metazoa; Nematoda; Chromadorea; Rhabditida; Rhabditidae.